This 645-nucleotide ribosomal RNA is filed under the name Staphylococcus aureus. RNAcentral's name for it is "partial 23S ribosomal RNA". It matches the Rfam family "Bacterial large subunit ribosomal RNA", at positions 614 to 1263 of the family's 2925-position model. The record is from RNAcentral. Lineage: Bacteria; Bacillati; Bacillota; Bacilli; Caryophanales; Staphylococcaceae.
AAUGAACCGGCGAGUUACGAUUUGAUGCAAGGUUAAGCAGUAAAUGUGGAGCCGUAGCGAAAGCGAGUCUGAAUAGGGCGUUUAGUAUUUGGUCGUAGACCCGAAACCAGGUGAUCUACCCUUGGUCAGGUUGAAGUUCAGGUAACACUGAAUGGAGGACCGAACCGACUUACGUUGAAAAGUGAGCGGAUGAACUGAGGGUAGCGGAGAAAUUCCAAUCGAACCUGGAGAUAGCUGGUUCUCUCCGAAAUAGCUUUAGGGCUAGCCUCAAGUGAUGAUUAUUGGAGGUAGAGCACUGUUUGGACGAGGGGCCCCUCUCGGGUUACCGAAUUCAGACAAACUCCGAAUGCCAAUUAAUUUAACUUGGGAGUCAGAACAUGGGUGAUAAGGUCCGUGUUCGAAAGGGAAACAGCCCAGACCACCAGCUAAGGUCCCAAAAUAUAUGUUAAGUGGAAAAGGAUGUGGCGUUGCCCAGACAACUAGGAUGUUGGCUUAGAAGCAGCCAUCAUUUAAAGAGUGCGUAAUAGCUCACUAGUCGAGUGACACUGCGCCGAAAAUGUACCGGGGCUAAACAUAUUACCGAAGCUGUGGAUUGUCCUUUGGACAAUGGUAGGAGAGCGUUCUAAGGGUGUUGAAGCAUGAUCG